CUACGGGGUGCUGCAGUAAGGAAUAUUGGACAAUGGAGGAAACUCUGAUCCAGCCAUGCCGUGUGAGUGAUGAAGGCCUUCGGGUUGUAAAGCUCUUUUAGGUGUGACGAUGAUGACGGUAACACCAGAAAAAGCCCCGGCUAACUUCGUGCCAGCAGCCGCGGUAAUACGAAGGGGGCGAGCGUUGUUCGGAAUCACUGGGCUUAAAGCGUACGUAGGCGGAUUAACAAGUCAGAAGUGAAAGCCCAGGGCUUAACCCUGGAAUUGCUUUUGAAACUGUUAGUCUGGAAUCCGGUAGAGGUUGGCGGAACUCCGAGUGUAGAGGUGACAUUCGCAGAUAUUCGGAAGAACACCAGUGGCGAAGGCGGCCAACUGGACCGGUAUUGACGCUGAGGUACGAAAGCGUGGGUAGCAAACAGGAUUAGAUACCCCUGUAGUC
RNAcentral lists this ribosomal RNA (439 nucleotides) under uncultured bacterium. RNAcentral's name for it is "partial 16S ribosomal RNA". It matches the Rfam family "Bacterial small subunit ribosomal RNA", at positions 339 to 795 of the family's 1533-position model. The record is from RNAcentral.